AGCCUCCCUUUUGCAGACAGAUCUGAGCGAUCUUGCCCGAAACGUGGAGGAGCUGUCUGUGUUGCCAGACAUCUGUCAGCUGACACAGCAGUGGCGUGCCAUACAGGAGUGUGGUAAAAGGAUGGCAGAGUUGGAAAGCAGAGUUAAUGACCUGCAGAGGACAAGAGAAACACAGGAAACCAUUCCAGCAGGGCCCACUUUUACUGCAGCUGCCGCUUUGAAAGACCUCUUCAGCCUCAGGUCAAUUUUUAAUCAGAAGAAAGAAGAAUGUGCAGAAACAGCCGCAGAGACCAUAAGAGGGCUCAUCAGAGAUCUUCAACAGUGGAACCAAGCGGUACAAGAUCAGACGUCACCCAGUCAGGUUGCUCUGGAUAAAGGUUUCCAGCUUCAGCGGGCACUUGGCGGCGUUCUCGCCCAGCAGAACCUUCUGGUAAAUUGUCUGGGUGAAGAAGUGACGACCACCCUGAUGAAAAGUGCCUCAGAGGUUCUGAAUGAAAGCCAACGAGAAAGGGAUUCUGUUUCCAAACG
Fundulus heteroclitus (mummichog) is the source of this 528-nucleotide long non-coding RNA. RefSeq lists it as uncharacterized. Lineage: Eukaryota; Metazoa; Chordata; Actinopteri; Cyprinodontiformes; Fundulidae. The record is from RefSeq and is a predicted model, not a curated record. The transcript is spliced from 4 exons.